This 446-nucleotide ribosomal RNA is filed under the name uncultured bacterium. RNAcentral describes it as "SSU rRNA". It matches the Rfam family "Bacterial small subunit ribosomal RNA", at positions 26 to 518 of the family's 1533-position model. The record is from RNAcentral.
AGAGCGAACGCUGGCGGCAGGCUUAACACAUGCAAGUCGAGCGGGCGUAGCAAUACGUCAGCGGCAGACGGGUGAGUAACGCGUGGGAACAUACCUUUUGGUUCGGAACAACACAGGGAAACUUGUGCUAAUACCGGAUAAGCCCUUACGGGGAAAGAUUUAUCGCCGAAAGAUUGGCCCGCGUCUGAUUAGCUAGUUGGUGAGGUAACGGCUCACCAAGGCGACGAUCAGUAGCUGGUCUGAGAGGAUGAUCAGCCACAUUGGGACUGAGACACGGCCCAAACUCCUACGGGAGGCAGCAGUGGGGAAUAUUGGACAAUGGGCGCAAGCCUGAUCCAGCCAUGCCGCGUGAGUGAUGAAGGCCCUAGGGUUGUAAAGCUCUUUUGUGCGGGAAGAUAAUGACGGUACCGCAAGAUAAGCCCCGGCUAACUCGUGCCAGCAGCCGC